GACCACUCCGUCGGGGAGAUAAGGUCAUACGGACAGCCGGGUCCACUGCCGA
Molecule: small RNA, 52 nt
Filed under: chicken gut metagenome
Description: Streptococcus sRNA SpF59 (ldcC RNA)
Rfam family: Streptococcus sRNA SpF59 (ldcC RNA)
Source: RNAcentral